GGAUGUAGCUCAGUGGUAGAGCAGUUAUCUAUUACAUGGAAGGCCCUGGGUUUAAUCCCCAGUAUUGCU
Molecule: transfer RNA, 69 nt
Filed under: Marmota monax (woodchuck)
Lineage: Eukaryota; Metazoa; Chordata; Mammalia; Rodentia; Sciuridae
Description: tRNA.Asn
Rfam family: tRNA
About the family: Transfer RNA (tRNA) molecules are approximately 80 nucleotides in length. Their secondary structure includes four short double-helical elements and three loops (D, anti-codon, and T loops). Further hydrogen bonds mediate the characteristic L-shaped molecular structure. tRNAs have two regions of fundamental functional importance: the anti-codon, which is responsible for specific mRNA codon recognition, and the 3' end, to which the tRNAs corresponding amino acid is attached (by aminoacyl-tRNA synthetases). tRNAs cope with the degeneracy of the genetic code in two manners: having more than one tRNA (with a specific anti-codon) for a particular amino acid; and 'wobble' base-pairing, i.e. permitting non-standard base-pairing at the 3rd anti-codon position.
Source: RNAcentral